RNAcentral lists this small RNA (140 nucleotides) under Planktothrix serta PCC 8927. RNAcentral's name for it is "HEARO". It matches the Rfam family "HNH endonuclease-associated RNA and ORF (HEARO) RNA", at positions 1 to 132 of the family's 211-position model. Lineage: Bacteria; Bacillati; Cyanobacteriota; Cyanophyceae; Oscillatoriales; Microcoleaceae. The record is from RNAcentral.
GUCAACAACCCACCACUGACUUGAGUACAAGUACAGUGGGGGCUUGAAAUACAGCCCUAGUUGACCAGCCUAAGUCUUAACUGACUCCGUUAUUUAGGUCACGACACCGGGCGGAUGCGUAGCUAGUCCCCUGCUCUGUC